UCGGACUUUUACGUAUUCUCUCUCUGCACGUCGUAGCGAUAACGAGUUAUCUGAACCUUCGGGGAACGAUAACGGCGUCGAGCGGCGGACGGGUGAGUAAUGCCUAGGAAAUUGCCCUGAUGUGGGGGAUAACCAUUGGAAACGAUGGCUAAUACCGCAUAAUGCCUACGGGCCAAAGAGGGGGACCUUCGGGCCUCUCGCGUCAGGAUAUGCCUAGGUGGGAUUAGCUAGUUGGUGAGGUAAUGGCUCACCAAGGCGACGAUCCCUAGCUGGUCUGAGAGGAUGAUCAGCCACACUGGAACUGAGACACGGUCCAGACUCCUACGGGAGGCAGCAGUGGGGAAUAUUGCACAAUGGGCGCAAGCCUGAUGCAGCCAUGCCGCGUGUGUGAAGAAGGCCUUCGGGUUGUAAAGCACUUUCAGUCGUGAGGAAGGUGGUAGUGUUAAUAGCUGUAUUAUUUGACGUUAGCGACAGAAGAAGCACCGGCUAACUCCGUGCCAGCAGCCGCGGUAAUACGGAGGGUGCGAGCGUUAAUCGGAAUUACUGGGCGUAAAGCGCAUGCAGGUGGUUUGUUAAGGUCAGAUGUGAAAGCCCGGGGCUCAACCUCGGAAUAGCAUGUGAAACUGGCAGACUAGAGUACUGUAGAGGGGGGUAGAAUUUUCAGGUGUAGCCGUGAAUGCGCGGAUCUGAAGGAUACCGGUGGCGAAUGUCGCCCCUGGACUGAUACUGAACACUCAGAAUGCUAAAGCGUGGGGAGCAAACAGGAUUAGAAAACCCUGUUAUCAACGCCGUAAACGAUGUCUUACUUGGAGGUGUGGCCUUGGAGCCUGGCUUCGGAAGCUAACCUUUAAGUAAACGGCCUUGGCGGAAGGACAGC
This 877-nucleotide ribosomal RNA is filed under the name Vibrio sp. SDDLB207. RNAcentral's name for it is "bacterial SSU rRNA". It matches the Rfam family "Bacterial small subunit ribosomal RNA", at positions 29 to 889 of the family's 1533-position model. The record is from RNAcentral. Lineage: Bacteria; Pseudomonadati; Pseudomonadota; Gammaproteobacteria; Vibrionales; Vibrionaceae.